RNAcentral lists this ribosomal RNA (829 nucleotides) under Candidatus Accumulibacter phosphatis. RNAcentral's name for it is "bacterial LSU rRNA". It matches the Rfam family "Bacterial large subunit ribosomal RNA", at positions 736 to 1571 of the family's 2925-position model. Lineage: Bacteria; Pseudomonadati; Pseudomonadota; Betaproteobacteria. The record is from RNAcentral.
AUGGCCAGGAUGAAGGUGCGGUAACACGCACUGGAGGUCCGAACCCACUAAUGUUGAAAAAUUAGGGGAUGAGCUGUGGAUAGGGGUGAAAGGCUAAACAAACUUGGAAAUAGCUGGUUCUCUCCGAAAACUAUUUAGGUAGUGCCUCAAGUAUCACCAACGGGGGUAAAGCACUGUUAUGGCUAGGGGGUCAUCGCGACUUACCAAACCAUUGCAAACUCAGAAUACCGUUGAGUGCGAGCUUGGGAGACAGACAUCGGGUGCUAACGUCCGGUGUCGAAAGGGAAACAACCCAGACCGCCGAUUAAGGUCCCCAAGCCAUAGUUAAGUGGGAAACGAGGUGGGAAGGCUUAGACAGCCAGGAGGUUGGCUUAGAAGCAGCCAUCCUUUAAAGAAAGCGUAAUAGCUCACUGGUCGAGUCGUCCUGCGCGGAAGAUGUAACGGGGCUCAAACUAUGCACCGAAAUCGCGGAUAUCCGUAAGGAUAUGGUAGGAGAGCGUUCUGUAAGCCGAUGAAGGUGUCUUGAGAAGGAUGCUGGAGGUAUCAGAAGUGCGAAUGCUGACAUGAGUAGCGAUAAAGGGAGUGAAAAGCUCCCUCGCCGAAAGCCCAAGGUUUCCUGCGCAACGUUCAUCGGCGCAGGGUGAGUCGGCCCCUAAGGCGAGGCUGAAAAGCGUAGUCGAUGGGAAACAGGUCAAUAUUCCUGUACCUCUUUGUAAUGCGAUGGGGGGACGGAGAAGGUUAGGUCAGCCGGGUGUUGGACGUCCCGGUUCAAGCGUGUAGGCAGACCUCUUAGGCAAAUCCGGGGGGUCAAUGCUGAGGCGUGAUAACG